RNAcentral lists this ribosomal RNA (426 nucleotides) under uncultured bacterium. Its description in RNAcentral is "bacterial SSU rRNA". It matches the Rfam family "Bacterial small subunit ribosomal RNA", at positions 355 to 773 of the family's 1533-position model. The record is from RNAcentral.
UGGGGAAUAUUGGACAAUGGGCGAAAGCCUGAUCCAGCCAUGCCGCGUGGGUGAAGAGGGCCUUCGGGUUGUAAAGCCCUUUUGUUGGGAAAGAAAUCCUGUCGAUUAAUACUCGGCGGGGAUGACGGUACCCAAAGAAUAAGCACCGGCUAACUUAGUGCCAGCAGCCGCGGUAAUACGAAGGGUGCAAGCGUUACUCGGAAUUACUGGGCGUAAAGCGUGCGUAGGUGGUUCGUUAAGUCUGAUGUGAAAGCCCUGGGCUCAACCUGGGAAUUGCAUUGGAUACUGGCGGGCUAGAGUACGGUAGAGGGUAGUGGAAUUCCUGGUGUAGCAGUGAAAUGCGUAGAGAUCAGGAGGAACAUCCGUGGCGAAGGCGACUACCUGGACCAGUACUGACACUGAGGCACGAAAGCGUGGGGAGCAAAC